Molecule: ribosomal RNA, 477 nt
Filed under: uncultured bacterium
Lineage: Bacteria
Description: bacterial SSU rRNA
Rfam family: Bacterial small subunit ribosomal RNA
Source: RNAcentral
UUCGCAAUGCCCGAAAGGGUGACGAAGCGACGCCGCGUGCGGGAAGAAGGCCUUCGGGUUGUAAACCGCUGUCGGGAGUUAGGAAAUGCAAGGAUGUUAAUAGCGUCUUUGCUUGACUAAGGCUCCGGAGGAAGCCACGGCUAACUCUGUGCCAGCAGCCGCGGUAAUACAGAGGCGGCAAGCGUUGUUCGGAAUUAUUGGGCGUAAAGAGUACGUAGGCGGCCGUGUAAGUCGGUUGUGAAAGCCUUCCGCUCAACGGGAGAACGGCAUCCGAUACUGCAUGGCUCGAGUGCGGGAGGGGAGAGUGGAACUUCUGGUGGAGCGGUGAAAUGCGUAGAUAUCAGAAGGAACACCGGCGGCGAAGGCGACUCUCUGGCCCGUAACUGACGCUGAGUGUGCGAAAGCUAGGGGAGCAAACGGGAUUAGAUACCCCGGUAGUCCUAGCCGUAAACGAUGGGCACUAAGUAGAGGGGUUUU